AGUGAACGCUGGCGGUAGGCCUAACACAUGCAAGUCGAACGGCAGCACAGAGGAGCUUGCUCCUUGGGUGGCGAGUGGCGGACGGGUGAGGAAUACAUCGGAAUCUACUCUGUCGUGGGGGAUAACGUAGGGAAACUUACGCUAAUACCGCAUACGACCUACGGGUGAAAGCAGGGGAUCUUCGGACCUUGCGCGGUUGAAUGAGCCGAUGUUGGAUUAGCUAGUUGGCGGGGUAAAGGCCCACCAAGGCGACGAUCCGUAGCUAGUCUGAGAGGAUGAUCAGCCACACUGGAACUGAGACACGGUCCAGACUCCUACGGGAGGCAGCAGUGGGGAAUAUUGGACAAUGGGCGCAAGCCUGAUCCAGCCGUACCGCGUGGGUGAAGAAGGCCUUCGGGUUGUAAAGCCCUUUUGUUGGGAAAGAAAUCCAUCUGGUUAAUACCCGGGUGGGAUGACGGUACCCAAAGAAUAAGCACCGGCUAACUUCGUGCCAGCCGCCGCAGUAA
This 506-nucleotide ribosomal RNA is filed under the name uncultured bacterium. RNAcentral's name for it is "partial 16S ribosomal RNA". It matches the Rfam family "Bacterial small subunit ribosomal RNA", at positions 29 to 523 of the family's 1533-position model. The record is from RNAcentral.